AAUUCAUCGCGCGACUGGCGGAAGUGGAGUGCACCACACGGAGCGCGAUGUUAGUGACUGCCGACCGCCUGGGCUAUUUGG
This 81-nucleotide non-coding RNA is filed under the name Dehalogenimonas alkenigignens. RNAcentral describes it as "ZTP sequence". It matches the Rfam family "ZMP/ZTP riboswitch aptamer (pfl RNA motif)". Rfam says of the family: Previously known as pfl RNA. ZMP is also known as AICAR. Lineage: Bacteria; Bacillati; Chloroflexota; Dehalococcoidia; Dehalococcoidales; Dehalococcoidaceae. The record is from Rfam by way of RNAcentral.